CCCACGCAGUAAAAAGAUGAGUGAUGAGUGUUAGAGGGUUACCGCCCUUUAGUGCUGCAGCAAACGCAUUAAGCACUCCGCCUGGGGAGUACGGUCGCAAGACUGAAACUCAAAGGAAUUGACGGGGGCCCGCACAAGCGGUGGAGCAUGUGGUUUAAUUUGAAGCAACGCGAAGAACCUUACCAGGUCUUGACAUCCUCUGACAACCCUAGAGAUAGGGCUUCCCCUUCGGGGGCAGAGUGACAGGUGGUGCAUGGUUGUCGUCAGCUCGUGUCGUGAGAUGUUGGGUUAAGUCCCGCAACGAGCGCAACCCUUGAUCUUAGUUGCCAGCAUUCAGUUGGGCACUCUAAGGUGACUGCCGGUGACAAACCGGAGGAAGGUGGGGAUGACGUCAAAUCAUCAUGCCCCUUAUGACCUGGGCUACACACGUGCUACAAUGGGCAGAACAAAGGGCAGCGAAGCCGCGAGGCUAAGCCAAUCCCACAAAUCUGUUCUCAGUUCGGAUCGCAGUCUGCAACUCGACUGCGUGAAGCUGGAAUCGCUAGUAAUCGCGGAUCAGCAUGCCGCGGUGAAUACGUUCCCGGGCCUUGUACACACCGCCCGUCACACCACGAGAGUUUGUAACACCCGAAGUCGGUGAGGUAACCUUUGGAGCCAGCCGCCGAAGGUGUACAUGAGCGGCG
Molecule: ribosomal RNA, 683 nt
Filed under: Bacillus licheniformis
Lineage: Bacteria; Bacillati; Bacillota; Bacilli; Caryophanales; Bacillaceae
Description: bacterial SSU rRNA
Rfam family: Bacterial small subunit ribosomal RNA
Source: RNAcentral